This is a long non-coding RNA of Gallus gallus (chicken), 186 nucleotides long. RefSeq lists it as uncharacterized. Lineage: Eukaryota; Metazoa; Chordata; Aves; Galliformes; Phasianidae. The transcript has 2 exons. The record is from RefSeq and is a predicted model, not a curated record.
CAGGUAACGCAGCACUGGGGAGACAGGGGUUGUCCUAGCAGAGAUGCUUUGAUGAGAAGAGGCUACAUUAAUGAACAAGCAGCGAGAAUUCACUGACUUUCUGCUGUGAUAUAGUCAUAUAUGGGUUAACCUGGCUGGUGCCUGCCUCCAGCUUCUCACUGCCAUAACCAUCACCACCAGGCACUG